Molecule: long non-coding RNA, 206 nt
Filed under: Mytilus galloprovincialis (Mediterranean mussel)
Lineage: Eukaryota; Metazoa; Mollusca; Bivalvia; Mytilida; Mytilidae
Source: RNAcentral
GUCCGGUAAAAGAGGUCAUCUCGGUUGCAGGUCGAGGAAAUUUGGAAUGCCAUGAGAAAAUGAGAGUAUAUUGGAUAGGGACAGAAAUUUAGCCUUUUAAACAGAGAAUCAGUUUUUGCAAGGGUUUUCUACACGAGGCAGCGGAUCUAACAUCUGUAUUUUGACUGGUCGUGGCUGUGUAUUUGAUACAUCCUUCAAAGCCAAAC